CAGGGCGCCAUAGAGGGUGAGAGCCCCGUAUAGUCGGAUGCCGAUCCAAUGUAAAGUUCCUUCGACGAGUCGAGUAGUUUGGGAAUGCUGCUCAAAAUGGGAGGUAAAUUUCUUCUAAAGCUAAAUAUAGGCCAGAGACCGAUAGCGCACAAGUAGAGUGAUCGAAAGAUGAAAAGCACUUUGAAAAGAGGGUUAAAUAGCACGUGAAAUUGUUGAAAGGGAAGCGUUUGUGACCAGACUUGCGCCGUUCCGAUCAUCCGGCGUUCUCGCCGGUGCACUCGGGGCGGCUCAGGCCAGCAUCGGUUUUGGUGGGGGGAUAAAGGUCCAGGGAACGUAGCUCCUCCGGGAGUGUUAUAGCCCUGGGCGUAAUGCCCUCGCUGGGACCGAGGUUCGCGCAUCUGCAAGGAUGCUGGCGUAAUGGUCAUCAACGACCCGUCUUGAAACACGGACCAAGGAGUCAAGGUUUUGCGCGAGUGUUUGGGUGUAAAACCCGCACGCGUAAUGAAAGUGAACGUAGGUGAGAGCUUCGGCGCAUCAUCGACCGAUCCUGAUGUAUUCGGAUGGAUUUGAGUAAGAGCGUUAAGCCUUGGACCCGAAAGAUGGUGAACUAUGCUUGGAUAGGGUGAAGCCAGAGGAAACUCGCAGCGGUUCUGACGUGCAAAUCGAUCGUCAAAUCUGAGC
This 681-nucleotide ribosomal RNA is filed under the name Acarospora sphaerosperma. RNAcentral's name for it is "Acarospora sp. EH-2022x partial large subunit ribosomal RNA". It matches the Rfam family "Eukaryotic large subunit ribosomal RNA", at positions 196 to 916 of the family's 3401-position model. The record is from RNAcentral. Lineage: Eukaryota; Fungi; Ascomycota; Lecanoromycetes; Acarosporales; Acarosporaceae.